This 918-nucleotide long non-coding RNA is filed under the name Oncorhynchus mykiss (rainbow trout). Its description in RNAcentral is "lncRNA (ENSOMYG00000056698.1)". The record is from RNAcentral. Lineage: Eukaryota; Metazoa; Chordata; Actinopteri; Salmoniformes; Salmonidae.
GGGCUCUAAUGAGUUCUCUUACAAGAGCAGAAUAUAUAGAAGAGGUCAGAGGGAGUCAAAUAUGCUAGAGGGAGGUAAGCUCUCACCUAGCAGAGGAAAUGGGCUUUGGCUAACCUUUCACAGUAUUGGAAGUUAUUCAUGGGUGGUGCAGAAAUCUCCCCAGAUACAGACACCGUGGAACAUGCAGUGUACUCUCAGUGUAGUGUCUUCCUCUGAUGACAGCCUUGACAGGUGUUAGAAGGUAGCGUAGUAGGUUUCUUCUGUAUGUAAUACAGAAAGUGUAAAGAAGACCAAAAUGGAAGCAUGAUUGGAAAAUGUUGUGAUUUGAUAACUAGGCAAAAGUCUGUGAAUCAGUGUGAACUGGGAAUAUAUUUGCCAAACGAGCACUUCUACUUCACAGAGAUGCCAAUGCCAUGGCUAUGCUUGUCUGUCUAUAUAUGCUGUGUACCUCUAUCUGCAGGUGACCCUGUGCUCCAACAGUGUGCAGCGCUACAGCCUGGCUCUAGUGUUGGAUGCACAAGGAGUGGGAGAGGAGGUGCUGGCCCUACCCAUCAAUGCCAGAACCUGCUCCUGUCCUGCAUUGGGGAGGAUGCGGUUGUCCAUGUGAUGACCACAGAGGUGGACUUUGGCACCAUAUCGGUUCUGACCGAUGUCUCCAGAACAUCGCAGCUCUCAAACCAGUCCCUGAUACCAGCCCGCUUUGUGGCACAAAUGGUUCGCAGCAGGUGGCGGGUGGAGCCCAGUGAGGGAGAGGUUCCACCCCAGGGGAAGCUGGAGCUGAGGCUGGUCCCUCACCUAGAUGACAAUCAAUCAAAUGCAUUUAUAAAGCCCUUUUUGCAUCAGCAGAUGUCACAAAGUGCUAUAGAGAAACCUGGCCUAAAACAGCAAGCAAUUUUUUUAUUAUCUUUAUUUAACUAG